GACGAACGCUGGCGGCGUGCUUAACACAUGCAAGUCGAGCGGAAAGGCUCCUUCGGGGGUACUCGAGCGGCGAACGGGUGAGUAACACGUGAGUAAUCUGCCCUUGGCUUCGGGAUAGCCACCGGAAACGGUGAUUAAUACCGGAUACGACAACUUCUCGCAUGGGAUGGUUGUGGAAAGUUUUUUCGGCCAGGGAUGUGCUCGCGGCCUAUCAGCUUGAUGGUGAGGUAAUGGCUCACCAUGGCUUCGACGGGUAGCCGGCCUGAGAGGGUGACCGGUCACACUGGGACGGAGACCCGGCCCAGACUCCUACGGGAGGCAGCAGUGGGGAAUAUUGGACAAUGGGCGGAAGCCUGAUCCAGCAACGCCGCGUGAGGGAUGACGGCCUUCGGGUUGUAAACCUCUUUCGGUAGGGACGAAGCGCAAGUGACGGUACCUACUAAAGAAGCACCGGCCAACUACGUGCCAGCAGCCGCCGCCG
This 481-nucleotide ribosomal RNA is filed under the name uncultured bacterium. RNAcentral's name for it is "partial 16S ribosomal RNA". It matches the Rfam family "Bacterial small subunit ribosomal RNA", at positions 28 to 523 of the family's 1533-position model. The record is from RNAcentral.